Molecule: ribosomal RNA, 253 nt
Filed under: uncultured bacterium
Lineage: Bacteria
Description: partial 16S ribosomal RNA
Rfam family: Bacterial small subunit ribosomal RNA
Source: RNAcentral
UACGUAGGGACCAAGCGUUGUUCGGAUUUACUGGGCGUAAAGGGCGCGUAGGCGGCGCGGUACGUCACUUGUGAAAUCUCUGAGCUUAACUCAGAACGGCCAAGUGAUACUGCAGUGCUAGAGUGUGGAAGGGGCAAUCGGAAUUCUUGGUGUAGCGGUGAAAUGCGUAGAUAUCAGGAGGAACACCGGUGGCGAAGGCGGCAUCCUGGACCAACACUGACGCUGAGGAGCGAAAGCCAGGGGAGCAAACGGG